UACGGAGGGUGCAAGCGUUAAUCGGAAUUACUGGGCGUAAAGGGUGUGUAGGUGGGUGUUUAAGUUAGCUGUGAAAGGCCUGAGCUUAACUUAGGAAGGCCAGCUAAGACUGGACGUCUAGAGUAUAGGAGAGGGUAGUGGAAUUUCCGGUGUAGCGGUGAAAUGCGUAGAGAUCGGAAGGAACAUCGGUGGCGAAGGCGGCUACCUGGCCUGAUACUGACACUGAGGCACGAAAGCGUGGGGAGCAAACAGG
RNAcentral lists this ribosomal RNA (253 nucleotides) under uncultured bacterium. RNAcentral describes it as "partial 16S ribosomal RNA". It matches the Rfam family "Bacterial small subunit ribosomal RNA", at positions 524 to 776 of the family's 1533-position model. The record is from RNAcentral.